This 29-nucleotide small RNA is filed under the name Bombyx mori (domestic silkworm). RNAcentral describes it as "ovarian small RNA-9686". The record is from RNAcentral. Lineage: Eukaryota; Metazoa; Arthropoda; Insecta; Lepidoptera; Bombycidae.
UUGAAUUAAAUACACUUUUUUAAUGUUGC